Molecule: long non-coding RNA, 1495 nt
Filed under: Erythranthe guttata (spotted monkey flower)
Lineage: Eukaryota; Viridiplantae; Streptophyta; Magnoliopsida; Lamiales; Phrymaceae
Description: long non-coding RNA (EGUT_LNC002296)
Source: RNAcentral
GAGAACAGAGAGGCAAAAACAGAAACAGGGGAGGCAGUAGAAUUGAGCUGGGAUGAUUACAAGUAAAUGGACUUCACACAAUGUGUAAGUUUUUCAAUUCCUACUAAAUAUAUUCAAAUAAUUGAAUAAAAUAAUUGUUGUAAAUUGCAAAUUCCCAGGCUCCACUAUUAAUAUGACAACCGACAACCAUCUUGUUGUCAACGUGAGAAACAAAUUAGAUGAAAACUUUCUAAUCUACUAGUAUAUAUGAUUUUAUUUUAUUUUUAUUUCAAUUUUCUUUUAUAUGGUUAUAUAGAUAUUGGAUUUGGUUUUGAGAUGAAUUGGGUCUGGAAUAAAAGUAGAUGUGGAGUUCGUGGCAAGAUGGGGUACUUGGAACAAAUUCCCCCAUCCAUCCAAAAUGCAAUAUAUAGUAACAUAUAGUAACAUGUAGUAACAUAUGCAUGUGAUUAUGUAUUUUCAACCUAUAUUUUGUUGGUAAUUAUGAGUUGAUUUAUAAUGUAAAUAUUUAAAAUAAACUUGAUUUUUUUGUCACAGGUCUUGAUGUUUGAACUACUUCUAUGCACUACGUUUUUGCCGAGAGGAUAUGGAGUUCAUCAAUUCAAAACAAUUAUUUUGCCACCGAUAUAUCGGAAUUGUCGUGUUGAAAAGUGGGAUUUGAAGCUAUAAAUACAAACUAAAUAUAUGACUAUACUCGUAUAGUCACAUGUGGUCAUAUAUAUGUAGUCAGAUGUGGUCAUAUACAUGUAGUUAUAUAUAGUCAGAUGUGGUCAUAUACGUGUAGUCAUAUAUAGUCAGAUGCGGUCAUAUACAUAUAGUCAUAUAUAGUCACAUAGUCAUAUACAUAUAGUCAUGGUCAUAUACAUAUAGUCAGUGGCGGAGCCACCCUUUGGCAAGGGUGGGCUCCAGCCCACUCUCAUUAUUUUAAAAUUUAUACUAUAUAUUAUAUCUAUAUAUAAUUAGCCCCCCAAAUAGUUUAAUUUAGCCCACCCAAGUAAUUUAGUUUAGCUUAUCUAUCAAAAAAUUUAUGUUAUAUUAGUUGAAGUUUAUAAUUUGUGGUUAUUUUAUGCUAUUUUAUGUUAAUGAAUAUAAAAAAAAAAAUCGGGGGCGCUGCCCCGAACCCCCUUCAAUGUUAAGCCCACCCACCCAAGUAAUUUAGUAUAGCUUAUAUUAGUUUAAGUUUAUAAAUUUGUAGUUAUUUUGUGCUAUAUUUUUUAUGUAAAUGAAUCCGAAAGAGAAAAUCGGGGGCGCUGCCCCCGAACCCCCGUUAACGUUAAGCCCACCCUGUCUCGAAUUCCUAGCUCCGCCACUGCAUAUAGUCAUAUAUAGUCACUUGUAGUAACAUGUAGUAAUAUAUAGUUAUAUAUAAGCUACGUGUUUUUCUGGUGUAUAAUGAUGUUGAUAAUUUGUUUUUCCAUUUUUUGUUGGGUACUAAUUGAUUUAUGAUAUCAAGAUUCAAAUUGUGAUUUUUGUUGGUGUACUAUAAAUGUUGUUGGCG